RNAcentral lists this long non-coding RNA (210 nucleotides) under Elaeis guineensis (African oil palm). Its description in RNAcentral is "long non-coding RNA (EGUI_LNC055311)". The record is from RNAcentral. Lineage: Eukaryota; Viridiplantae; Streptophyta; Magnoliopsida; Arecales; Arecaceae.
CAUGAAAGGGUUUGCACAGCAUUCAUUUUCUUAAAGUUCUAGAAGAAGAUUCAGAUCCAAAGCUGAGGAGAAAGGCCUGCAAGGUGCUAGAACACCAGUGGUUUUAGUACUCUGAUCAGACAUCUCUGUGUGGAUAUAAGUCGAGGUCGGGUGCUUGCACGGUUACGACUAGAACCCUGGACAUCUGCAGGAUCCAAAGAUAUGGAGAUC